CUGUUAGCGUGGGUGUGUACUCUAUUAAAACAAGGCUCAGGCUACUCCGGGUGACUCAUUGUGAGGCUAGCUUUUCCAUGGUGAAAAACAAAACGGGCUUUUCAUCAGAUGAACUUUCGGGAAUUUCGUUUAUACAAGAAACAUGGCUUCAAACAUUAUCUGUGCGCUUUGUGGACUUGUCAUUGCGACUGUAGCGAACCUAAACGGCGCGAACGGGCAACAAAACCUAUGCAGUAGUUCAGAGUUCUGGAGUUCGGACAUAGACCAAUGCGUAUCCUGCUCAUCGUGCAAGCAGUAUCCAAAGACCCCUUCGUGUAACACUUGCACAUUUACCAAGGAAAGAUCUGAUGUCUGGAGACUGGCAGCCAUUUCCAGCUUCUCUGUGCUGGCAGUUAUUCUGGUCGCUGCAGUAUUGAUCAUUGGAGUCAUGGUGCAUCGACGCAAGGCACAGAAGAGGCCCCUCCGUGAACCCAUUGAAGAGACAACGGGACCUCUUUACCAAGCGUAAACAUUUCACCUCAUCUUCCUUCUGACAUUGAUGUGACAGAACCAAGGGAACAUCUUUGGAUGACCAACCGAAACAGAAUCAUUUUUGUACAAUGGAUAAUACUCUGACCACAGGGUAUUAUUUGAGUGGAGUUUGACCAUUUAAUUUAUUAUACUGUUAGUAAAGAUGUGUUCACAUACACUCAGUGUGUUACGGAACGGAGCUCUCACAUAGAACUGUGUUAACAAGCGCUGUCAAUCCCCUACCUUGUCUGCAGUCAGACUGUACUCUGAGUAAGACAAUGUAGUUAGUAAAGAGUAUCUCUCACAGCUCUUUUUGAAAUGAUGGCCUUUGAGUAGUGAUGCUAGGUUGAGCUUGUCGAGAUAUUCCAAUAAUCUAUCUAUCGAUAAGUUGUUCAAUCAAUAAGUAGUUUAAAAAACAGUAGUGAACAUGAGACACAUCUUGAUUGUUGUGGAUUUCCAACCAUUUCUGUCAAUGCUUGAACACCUAUUGUUUUAUUGUAGCUUAUUAGGACGAAUAGCAACGACCGAACUGCCUCGACUUGCCAUCAGCAGGAUAAAAGUGAAUACAGCACAAUCGUGCUUCUUGGGCCAGGUUUCACAUACUGUACUUCUAUAAGAGUAACGUUUCUAUUUAACAUCCUCGUGAUAAUGAAAAGUAAAAGGGAAAUGUUAGAUUAUAAAUUCAUGUUGGGCACAUUUUGGCAAUUUGAAUGUACUUUUAGGGCAAUUUAUCCAGUCUGUGUUUCCAUGUAGGAACUAUAUGCACUUAGAGCUACUUAGAGCUAGUUGUUUUUUAACUCAUCAUUUUUAAAGGAGUAGAAUUAUUUUAACAGUAUCGUGCACUGUACUCUCUAGGAUCUUCCAAUCAAAAGAGGCAAAGGGGAAAAUAAGUGAACUGAUUAUGAAACUGCGUAUUGGACAUUCUUACACAGGUCAUUUAACCAUUAUACUGUAGAAUGUGUGUAUGCAGGAUAAG
This is a long non-coding RNA of Oncorhynchus tshawytscha (Chinook salmon), 1486 nucleotides long. RefSeq lists it as uncharacterized. NCBI's taxonomy places the organism in Eukaryota, Metazoa, Chordata, Actinopteri, Salmoniformes, Salmonidae. The record is from RefSeq and is a predicted model, not a curated record. The transcript is spliced from 5 exons.